GUGUUUGCUCAGUGGCAGUAUCGUAACCAAUGAGGCUUAUCAGAGGUGCGAUUAUUGCUAGUUGAAAAUUUUUCCAAAAUGUGCGUGUGCACGCGCUUGCACGUGUAUUAUCAAUAAGAAUGAUUGAAUGACUGACCGGU
Small nuclear RNA from Portunus trituberculatus (swimming crab), 140 nucleotides. RefSeq annotates it as U4 spliceosomal RNA. The record is from RefSeq and is a predicted model, not a curated record. The transcript has a single exon. Lineage: Eukaryota; Metazoa; Arthropoda; Malacostraca; Decapoda; Portunidae.